UCCAGGACCCUACGGGGCGCAGCAGGCGCGAAACCUCCGCAAUGCGGGCAACCGCGACGGGGUUAGCCGGAGUGCCCGUGCAUCGCACGGGCUGUCGGGGUGCCUAAACAGCACCCCAUAGCAAGGGCCGGGCAAGGCCGGUGGCAGCCGCCGCGGUAAGACCGGCGGCCCGAGUGGCGGCCACUCUUAUUGGGCCUAAAGCGUCCGUAGCCGGCCCAGUAAGUCCCCCGGGAAAUCUGGUCGCUUAACGAUCAGACUUCCGGGGGAUACUGCUGGGCUAGGGACCGGGAGAGGCCGAGGGUAUUCCCGGGGUAGGGGUGAAAUCCUGUAAUCCCGGGAGGACCACCUGUGGCGAAGGCGCUCGGCUGGAACGGGUCCGACGGUGAGGGACGAAGGCCUGGGGAGCGAACCGGAUUAGAUACCCGGGUAGUCCAGGCUGUAAACGAUGCGGGCUAGGUGUCACCGGAGCUACGAGCUCCGGUGGUGCCGGAGGGAAGCCGUUAAGCCCGCCGCCUGGGAAGUACGGCCGCAAGGCUGAAACUUAAAGGAAUUGGCGGGGGAGCACUACAACGGGUGGAGCCUGCGGUUUAAUUGGAUUCAACGCCGGGAAGCUUACCGGGGGAGACAGCGGGAUGAAGGUCGGGCUGAAGACCUUACCAGACUAGCUGAGAGGUGGUGCAUGGCCGCCGUCAGUUCGUACUGUGAAGCAUCCUGUUAAGUCAGGCAACGAGCGAGACCCGCGCCCUCAGUUGCCAGCGGGUCCCUUCGGGGAUGCCGGGCACACUGAGGGGACUGCCGGCGCUAAGCCGGAGGAAGGUGCGGGCAACGGCAGGUCCGUAUGCCCCGAAUCCCCCGGGCUACACGCGGGCUACAAUGGCCGGGACAAUGGGUACCGACCCCGAAAGGGGUGGGUAAUCUCCUAAACCCGGUCUAACCUGGGAUCGAGGGCUGCAACUCGCCCUCGUGAACCUGGAAUCCGUAGUAAUCGCGUCUCAAAAUGGCGCGGUGAAUACGUCCCUGCUCCUUGCACACACCGCCCGUC
Molecule: ribosomal RNA, 1042 nt
Filed under: uncultured archaeon
Lineage: Archaea
Description: bacterial SSU rRNA
Rfam family: Archaeal small subunit ribosomal RNA
Source: RNAcentral